RNAcentral lists this unclassified non-coding RNA (258 nucleotides) under Hevea brasiliensis (rubber tree). Lineage: Eukaryota; Viridiplantae; Streptophyta; Magnoliopsida; Malpighiales; Euphorbiaceae. The record is from RNAcentral.
UCUCUCUCUCUCUCUCUCUCUCUCUGUGGUUCUUCUCGUGUUUUACAAUUUCAAGGAGUUUGUGGCCAGUUGUUGCCGAUGCUGAAUUGAGUAGAAUGGAACACAUAGUCUGGUCUGUUGUUGUUGUUGUUGAUUGUCUUAUGAGACCAUAAUGUUAGGAUUUUAGUAUAUCAAAUAAUUCAUUGUUGUAUCUGCUGUUGCUGAUUCAAUUCAAAAUGUGUUAAGCAAUUGAAGUAGUUUUGUCUCCCCCGUCCUCUC